GUGCCAAACCGUUCUAUCGUACAGGCAUUUGUCUGUAAGGAAAGUCCGGACACCAUAGGACAGUAUAGCGGGUAACGCCCGUCAUAAUGACCCUCGCGUCAUUAUAGGACAAGUGCAGCAGAAAGAAUGUACAGGUAAUGCUGUAGUGAAAUCAGGUAAACUCUAUACGGUGAAAUGCUAUGUAUAUCGGCUUUAAGGAUUGUCCGUCCGUUGCCGAGGGGUAAGCAGCUUGAGUGUAUUGGUAACAAUGCACCCAGAUAAAUGAUAGGACUCGACAGAAUCCGGCUUAUAGGUUUGGCGUUUUU
Molecule: RNase P RNA, 305 nt
Filed under: Parvicella tangerina
Lineage: Bacteria; Pseudomonadati; Bacteroidota; Flavobacteriia; Flavobacteriales; Parvicellaceae
Description: Bacterial RNase P class A
Rfam family: Bacterial RNase P class A
About the family: Ribonuclease P (RNase P) is a ubiquitous endoribonuclease, found in archaea, bacteria and eukarya as well as chloroplasts and mitochondria.
Source: Rfam by way of RNAcentral